RNAcentral lists this ribosomal RNA (467 nucleotides) under uncultured bacterium. RNAcentral describes it as "partial 16S ribosomal RNA". It matches the Rfam family "Bacterial small subunit ribosomal RNA", at positions 29 to 507 of the family's 1533-position model. The record is from RNAcentral.
ACGAACGCUGGCGGCGUGCUUAACACAUGCAAGUCGAACGGAAAGGCCCUGCUUUUGUGGGGUGCUCGAGUGGCGAACGGGUGAGUAACACGUGAGUAACCUGCCCUUGACUUUGGGAUAACUUCAGGAAACUGGGGCCAAUACCGGAUAGGAGCUCCUGCUGCAUGGUGGGGGUUGGAAAGUUUCGGCGGUUGGGGAUGGACUUGCGGCUUAUCAGCUUGUUGGUGGGGUAGUGGCUUACCAAGGCUUUGACGGGUAGCCGGCCUGAGAGGGUGACCGGCCACAUUGGGACUGAGAUACGGCCCAGACUCCUACGGGAGGCAGCAGUGGGGAAUAUUGCACAAUGGGCGGAAGCCUGAUGCAGCAACGCCGCGUGCGGGAUGACGGCCUUCGGGUUGUAAACCGCUUUCGCCUGUGACGAAGCGUGAGUGACGGUAAUGGGUAAAGAAGCACCGGCUAACUACGUG